Molecule: ribosomal RNA, 253 nt
Filed under: uncultured bacterium
Lineage: Bacteria
Description: partial 16S ribosomal RNA
Rfam family: Bacterial small subunit ribosomal RNA
Source: RNAcentral
GACAGAGGUGCCGAGCGUUAGGCGGAAUCACUGGGCUUAAAGCGUGUGUAGGCGGGCCGUUAAGUGCCCCGUGAAAACCCCCGGCUCAACCGGGGAACGGCGGGGCAUACUGGCGGCCUUGAGACACCUAGGGGCGAGCGGAACAGGCGGUGGAGCGGUGAAAUGCGUAGAUAUCGCCUGGAACGCCGACGGUGAAAACAGCUCGCUGGGGGUGUUCUGACGCUGAGACACGAAAGCCAGGGGAGCGAACGGG